This 201-nucleotide long non-coding RNA is filed under the name Brassica napus (rape). Its description in RNAcentral is "long non-coding RNA (BNAP_LNC026450)". The record is from RNAcentral. Lineage: Eukaryota; Viridiplantae; Streptophyta; Magnoliopsida; Brassicales; Brassicaceae.
UAGAAAAUAAGGAAUAUGGGGUUUGGGGUUUCGGGGUUGGGGUUUUGGGUUUCGGGUUUCGGGUUUCGGGGUUGGGGUUUCGGGUUUGGGGUUUCGAGUUUCGGGUUUCGGGUUUGGGGUUUCGGGUUUUGGGUUUCGGGUUUCGGGGUUGGGGUUUUGGGUUUCGGGGUUGGGGUUUCGGGUUUGGGGUUUGGGGUUUGG